AGCGAACGCUGGCGGCAGGCUUAACACAUGCAAGUCGAGCGGGCACUUUCGGGUGUCAGCGGCGGACGGGUGAGUAACGCGUGGGAACGCGCCCUCUGGUUCGGAAUAACUCAGGGAAACUUGAGCUAAUACCGGAUACGCCCUUUUGGGGAAAGGCUUGCUGCCGGAGGAUCGGCCCGCGUCUGAUUAGCUAGUUGGUGAGGUAACGGCUCACCAAGGCGACGAUCAGUAGCUGGUCUGAGAGGAUGAUCAGCCACACUGGGACUGAGACACGGCCCAGACUCCUACGGGAGGCAGCAGUGGGGAAUAUUGGACAAUGGGCGCAAGACUGAUCCAGCCAUGCCGCGUGAGUGAUGAAGGCCUUAGGGUUGUAAAGCUCUUUUAUCCGGGACGAUAAUGACGGUACCGGAGGAAUAAGCCCCGGCUAACUUCGUG
RNAcentral lists this ribosomal RNA (435 nucleotides) under uncultured bacterium. Its description in RNAcentral is "partial 16S ribosomal RNA". It matches the Rfam family "Bacterial small subunit ribosomal RNA", at positions 29 to 507 of the family's 1533-position model. The record is from RNAcentral.